Molecule: long non-coding RNA, 622 nt
Organism: Engraulis encrasicolus (European anchovy)
Lineage: Eukaryota; Metazoa; Chordata; Actinopteri; Clupeiformes; Engraulidae
Exons: 3
Source: RefSeq, a predicted model, not a curated record
AAGGGUAGCAUGUCUGCCAACUACUGGUAGGGGGGAUGAACACCAUUAAGACCGCUGGUUUGAUCUACAUGCGCUUUUGUUCAUGAUGACGUACUGUCCUUUCGGCUUCCAUCAUCUCACCUGGAUCAAUGUGAUGACAAACUUUACAAGUAAUGAACAUUGUGUACAAGCAUCAAAACCAUGAUUGUUGUAAUCACUGCUGCCAACCUCUAAUCUACUUGUUACAGAGGUACUCUAACCAGAGAUACAACACUGACGAAUGUCUCCAUAGGAAUAAACGGUGUGAAAUCGUAACGCCAAAACGUCGAAUGCCUGCUUAUCUCCCGCCUACUUGGCAACAAGAGCCAAUCGGUUGCUGAGCUGCGCCGGCAUUGAUCCAAUCAUCUCGACGCCUCGACGCAAGUGCAAACAUAAACCUUUACGACUGCUCGUACCUAAUCGGUUUGUUUGCUGGUGGCCAUGUGGUUUGUUUGCCGUCCGUGGAAACUUCAGCCAGAGAGACAGCUGUUUUGAAAAUCUUCUCAUGGACGAAGAGCAGUGGCUCCAGGUUGCUUGAUGUGCCUACAUGCUCCUCUGGAUCCUCCUUGGUGUCCAUAGUCUUUGGAAGUGAUCAAGAUUCCAC